RNAcentral lists this ribosomal RNA (827 nucleotides) under Xenoacremonium recifei. Its description in RNAcentral is "LSU rRNA". It matches the Rfam family "Eukaryotic large subunit ribosomal RNA", at positions 82 to 941 of the family's 3401-position model. Lineage: Eukaryota; Fungi; Ascomycota; Sordariomycetes; Hypocreales; Nectriaceae. The record is from RNAcentral.
AGUAACGGCGAGUGAAGCGGCAACAGCUCAAAUUUGAAAUCUGGCCUUCGGGUCCGAGUUGUAAUUUGUAGAGGAUGCUUUUGGUGCGGUGCCUUCCGAGUUCCCUGGAACGGGACGCCAUAGAGGGUGAGAGCCCCGUCUGGUUGGAUACCAAUCCUCUGUAAAGCUCCUUCGACGAGUCGAGUAGUUUGGGAAUGCUGCUCUAAAUGGGAGGUAUAUGUCUUCUAAAGCUAAAUACCGGCCAGAGACCGAUAGCGCACAAGUAGAGUGAUCGAAAGAUGAAAAGCACUUUGAAAAGAGGGUUAAACAGUACGUGAAAUUGUUGAAAGGGAAGCGCUUGUGACCAGACUUGGGCAUGGUUAAUCAUCCAGCGUUCUCGCUGGUGCACUUGGCCUGCCCAGGCCAGCAUCAGUUCGGUGCGGGGGAUAAAGGCUUCGGGAAUGUGGCUCCUCCGGGAGUGUUAUAGCCCGUUGUGCAAUACCCUGCGCUGGACUGAGGUUCGCGCAUCUGCAUGGAUGCUGGCGUAAUGGUCAUCAGCGACCCGUCUUGAAACACGGACCAAGGAGUCGUCCUCGUAUGCGAGUGUUCGGGUGUUAAACCCCUACGCGUAAUGAAAGUGAACGCAGGUGAGAGCUUCGGCGCAUCAUCGACCGAUCCUGAUGUUCUCGGAUGGAUUUGAGUAAGAGCAUACGGGGCCGGACCCGAAAGAAGGUGAACUAUGCCUGUAUAGGGUGAAGCCAGAGGAAACUCUGGUGGAGGCUCGCAGCGGUUCUGACGUGCAAAUCGAUCGUCAAAUAUGGGCAUGGGGGCGAAAGACUAAUCGAACC